RNAcentral lists this ribosomal RNA (253 nucleotides) under uncultured bacterium. Its description in RNAcentral is "partial 16S ribosomal RNA". It matches the Rfam family "Bacterial small subunit ribosomal RNA", at positions 524 to 776 of the family's 1533-position model. The record is from RNAcentral.
UACGAAGGACCCGAGCGUUAUCCGGAUUCAUUGGGUUUAAAGGGUGCGUAGGUGGAUUGAUAAGUCAGUGGUGGAAUCUCACGGCUCAACCGUGAAAUUGCCAUUGAUGCUGCCAAUCUUGAGUACAUAUGAUGUGGGCGGAAUGUGCCAUGUAGUGGUGAAAUACUUAGAUAUGGCACAGAACACCGAUUGCGAAGGCAGCUCACAAAACUGUAACUGACACUGAGGCACGAAAGCGUGGGGAUCAAACAGG